RNAcentral lists this RNase P RNA (356 nucleotides) under Nocardioides sp. RNAcentral describes it as "RNase P RNA component class A". It matches the Rfam family "Bacterial RNase P class A". Rfam says of the family: Ribonuclease P (RNase P) is a ubiquitous endoribonuclease, found in archaea, bacteria and eukarya as well as chloroplasts and mitochondria. Its best characterised activity is the generation of mature 5'-ends of tRNAs by cleaving the 5'-leader elements of precursor-tRNAs. Cellular RNase Ps are ribonucleoproteins. The record is from RNAcentral. Lineage: Bacteria; Bacillati; Actinomycetota; Actinomycetes; Propionibacteriales; Nocardioidaceae.
CGGGCCGGCCGGACGACCGCGGCGCACCGGGCGACCGAUGCGACGAGGAAGGUCCGGGCUCCACAGAGCAGGGUGGUGGGUAACGCCCACCCGGGGUGACCCGCGGGACAGUGCCACAGAGAACAGACCACCGCUCCCUCCAGGAGCGGCCAGGGUGAAACGGUGGAGUAAGAGCCCACCAGCGCUCCGGGCGACCGGAGCGGCUCGGCAAACCCCACCCGGAGCAAGAUCGGACAGCGCACGCUCGAGGGCUGCUCGCCCGAGUGCGCGGGUGGAUCGCUCGAGGCCGCCGGCAACGACGGCCCUAGAUGGAUGGUCGUCCUCGACAGAACCCGGCCUACAGGCCGACCCGUCCG